UAUUAAAACACCGGUUCUCAUACGAUUACCGAAGUUAAGUAACUUCAAGCCUGGUCAGUACCUAGAUGGUGACCGUUUUGGAAUAACAGGUGCUGUAAG
Acanthosepion pharaonis is the source of this 99-nucleotide non-coding RNA. Lineage: Eukaryota; Metazoa; Mollusca; Cephalopoda; Sepiida; Sepiidae. The record is from the annotation of a GenBank genome assembly.